Molecule: long non-coding RNA, 1363 nt
Organism: Dreissena polymorpha
Lineage: Eukaryota; Metazoa; Mollusca; Bivalvia; Myida; Dreissenidae
Exons: 2
Source: RefSeq, a predicted model, not a curated record
UGGGUAAGUAACAUGCGUUUCAUUUGCGGAAAUUGAUAACGUGUUCAUAAACAAGAUGUUAUCGAAGUCUAUUUAAAAUAAAUCAUUAAAAAGAUUAUUUGAUUGAGUGGGUGCCUUCUACUAUACAACAUGUCUGAAAUGUAUUUACGACCAUCGGAAAUAAAUUUUUCUCAAGAUUCUAUUCACCGUUACUUUAGGCAUCACGAGAUCAAGAUGAUCGGGGAGACGUUAGAUGACAUAUGCGAAGGAAGGAUUACAAUUGACGAUAUUCCGAAAAUAGAAGUUGCGAAGCAUGAAGAAAAAUGGGUAACAUCUGACAACCGCCGCCUUUGGGUUUUUAAGCAUCUAGAACGAUUGGGAAAAUGUGCAACUGUAUGUGUCCGGAUAGUUUCCAUUGUUUGUCCAGCAAAACUUACCACGAAAAACGGCGGAGAAUCUAUUGAGAUUCGUGGCUUGCCAGGAGGAUCGUGGUAUUUGAAAGAAACAUGAUAAUAUGAUACAUCUACUAAAAACAGUGCUAUAAAGUACCUGUUUAUAAAAGCCGGACAAGUUAAAAAAACGUAAAUUGAAACAGUCUAACAUUUCGCUGUUUAUUUAUACUGGUAUGUGCUCAAUAUAUAGUAAACUAUUGAAGCUCUGAACACCAUUAUAUGUAAUUAUUAAGUGUAUCUUAUUGUAAUUCUGUCCAAACAUAUAUUUUGGAACAAUGUUGAAUGCUAUACUCAUUAUUGAUGUAUGUAGGUUCAUAUUUAUUACUUUUACCUAUUCAGUUGAUCUUUGUCUUUUUAUAUGUUUCUUUUAAAACAAAGUUUGAGUUAAUAACGUUUGUUACAGCGAUAUUGGGUAUAACAUCGUAGCUGAAUGAAUUAAGCAGCUUAGCAAUGUGAUGCUUAGUUAAGAACAAUAGUUAAUGUCUUGUAUGUUUCUCAGGUUUAUUUUUUAAUGUCAAUACAGUCUUUCAAUACAGUCUGCUUAUACGUGUGCAAUAAAAGUAUUAACACUAAAUUAAAAUAUGAUGAAGUUAUUUAAAUGCGAACUGAUUUAUUUUUUAAAUAAUUGUAACACGUAGUAAACAAAUUGAACACGUUAACCUUAAUCUGUUAAAUACAAAAAAAAACCAUAGUAUGCUACCAAUGGUUUAGCGCAGCUCCACUUUCGACUGCUUCAAUCACCAGCUGUAAGACGUCCGUGUCUGAUAUACUUUGCAUGUUGGUCGGUUUCAAAGUAUGCGCAAUAUCAAUAUGUCGAUUUUGUUCAAAUCAAUCAAUGCAUGAAGAAGAAUGUAUUAUGUUCAUAUAUAGCAUGAUAAGCUAUUGAGUCAUGUAUAUGCCGCCCACAAAAUAGAUCUGGUUCAAAGUCAUAA